Molecule: long non-coding RNA, 931 nt
Filed under: Gallus gallus (chicken)
Lineage: Eukaryota; Metazoa; Chordata; Aves; Galliformes; Phasianidae
Description: lncRNA (ENSGALG00010014078.1)
Source: RNAcentral
GGGCUGCUUGUGUGAUGGGGAUGGCUCUCUGCCCUGCGCUGCGUUCUGCAGAAACAGCACACGAAUAAAGUGCAUGUCAGCAUGUACAGAUUUUGACCCUGGCUGAAGUGGCACUUGGUGACGCACCUGUAUCGAAGAGUGAUAACCAUGGAGCUCCUAUGAAAAGGAGCAGCACUGUUUUCUGAAAUUCCCUGCAAUAAGGAUUCUGCUUGCAGAAGGGAGAUCAAGGGUUCAAGACAUCAGAGUACAAAUGCUGCUGGACAUAUUGUGGUCUACCAACCAUGUUAUCACAUCUCACAGACUGUGAUAGACGGAAACCUUGGUGUGACAGACAGCUUGCCUGUGACUUUGUCUUCAUAAACCAUGUGCGCCACAGUCAAAACUCCACCCUCAGCAAAAAGAACAGAGGAACAAAAGCAGCGAGCCAAGCUCAUGGACAUCUCCUGCAUUUGAGGCAAUCGAAGCCAAAGCUGCUGCUUUGCCCUUCACCAUGUUCCUGCUGCCUCCAGCAGAGCCCUGCAGAGCUGGGUCAUUUGGAUCUGCCCCUCCUGGGAAAGUGGUGGGUGCAGCCCCAGCUCUGUCACUGCUGCCUUGCACUGGGAGAGUGCAUUUGUGGAGUGUGGAAGCCAAUACGGAUCGUAAAGAGAUGGAGGAGUAAUCCAAAGGAGGCAGGAAGCAAUCCAGGUGCAGCAAGGAUUGGAACAAGGCAGGUUGAGGUCAGAGAUUUCCCACUGGCUUCCAGCUGCCAGGAGAGCCACACUACCGAGCGGAGUGCCAAGGGAGAGGCUCCAAAGUUUGCUUAUGGAGGUUUGGGGAGGUUGGUCUGUGACAAGCCUUUGGUGUGCAGGUGAAUGGACUCUAUCUCAGCUAUCAGAUCUUCAGAAUCGUAGAACCAGAAAGGUUGAAGAAGAUAUCUAAGAUCAUCUGGUCC